RNAcentral lists this ribosomal RNA (427 nucleotides) under uncultured bacterium. RNAcentral's name for it is "partial 16S ribosomal RNA". It matches the Rfam family "Bacterial small subunit ribosomal RNA", at positions 355 to 774 of the family's 1533-position model. The record is from RNAcentral.
UGGGGAAUAUUGCACAAUGGGCGCAAGCCUGAUGCAGCCAUGCCGCGUGUAUGAAGAAGGCCUUCGGGUUGUAAAGUACUUUCAGCGAGGAGGAAGGCGGUAAGGUUAAUAACCUUAUCGAUUGACGUUACUCGCAGAAGAAGCACCGGCUAACUCCGUGCCAGCAGCCGCGGUAAUACGGAGGGUGCAAGCGUUAAUCGGAAUUACUGGGCGUAAAGCGCACGCAGGCGGUCUGGCAAGUCGGAUGUGAAAUCCCCGGGCUCAACCUGGGAACUGCAUUCGAAACUGGCAGGCUAGAGUCUUGUAGAGGGGGGUAGAAUUCCAGGUGUAGCGGUGAAAUGCGUAGAGAUCUGGAGGAAUACCGGUGGCGAAGGCGGCCCCCUGGACAAAGACUGACGCUCAGGUGCGAAAGCGUGGGGAGCAAACA